GUUCGAUUAUGGCUCAGAUUGAACGCUGGCGGGAUGCUUUACAUGCAAGUCGAACGGCAGCACGGACUUCAGUCUGGUGGCGAGUGGCGAACGGUGAGUAAUGUAUCGGAACGUGCCUAGUAGCGGGGGAUAACUGCGCGGCGUAGCUAAUACCAUGCGCCCUUCCCUUCCCGAGGGAAAGCGGGGACCUUCGGGCCUCGCACUAUUAGAGCGGCCGAUAUCGGAUUAGCCUAGUUGGUGGGGUAACGGCUCACCAGCGAUCCGUAGCUGGUUUGAGAGGACGACCAGCCACACUGGGACUGGAGACCACGGCCCAGACUCCUACGGGAGGCAGCAGUGGGGAAUUUUGGACAGUGGGGAAACCUGAUCCAACCAUCCCGCGUGUGCGAUGAAGGCCUUCGGGUUGUAAAGCACUUUUGGCAGGAAAGAAACGGCACGGGAUAAUGCGUGCAACUGACGGUACCUGCAGGGCAGCACCGGCUAACUACGUGCCAGCAGCCGCAGAACAAGCCCGUAGGGUGCAAGCGUUAAUCGGAAUUACUGGGCGUAAAGCGUGUGCGAAGGCGGUUCGGAAAGAAAGAUGUGAAAUCCCAGAGCUUUAACUUUGGAACUGCAUUUUUAACUACCGAGCUAGAGUGUGUCAGAGGGAGGUGGAAUUCCCGCGUGUAGCAGUGAAAUGCGUAGAUAUGCGGAGGAACACCGAUGGCGAAGGCAGCCUCCUGGGAUAACACUGACGCUCUGCACAGCGUGGGGAGCAAACGGGAUUAGAUACCCUGGCAGUCCACUUCAAGCGAUGUCAACUAGCUGUUGGGGCCUUCAGGCCUUGGUAGCGCAACUAACGCGUGAAGUUGACCCGCCUGGGAAACACGGUCGCAAGAUUAAAACUCGAAGGAAUUGACGGGGACCCGCACAAGCGGUGGAUGAUGUGGAUUAAUUCGAUGCAACGCGAAAAACCUUACCUACCCUUGACAUGUCUGAGUCCGAAGAGAUUUGGGAGUGCUCGCAAGAGAACCGGAACACAGGUGCUGCAAGGCUGUCGUCAGCUCGUGUCGUGAGAUGUUGGGUUAGUCACACAACGAGCGCAACCCUUGUCAUUAGUUGCUACGAAAGGGCACUCUAAUGAGACUGCCGGUG
Molecule: unclassified non-coding RNA, 1134 nt
Filed under: uncultured Bordetella sp.
Lineage: Bacteria; Pseudomonadati; Pseudomonadota; Betaproteobacteria; Burkholderiales; Alcaligenaceae
Description: partial 16S-23S ribosomal RNA intergenic spacer
Rfam family: Bacterial small subunit ribosomal RNA
Source: RNAcentral